CACAUUAGGCCAGAGAACUUCUUAGUAUAGAGGUGUCACAAGGUGGUUAUGAUAUAGAAGAGAAAGCUGCAAGAGCAUAUGAUCUUGUAGCUCUUAAGUAUUUAUUGGGGACCUUCAACACACACAAACUUCCCACUAGAAAAUUACCAAACUAAACUUGAGGAAAUGAAGAAUAUGAGCAGGCAUGAGUAUGUGGCCCACUUGAGAAGAAAGAGUACUGGGUUUUCAAGGGGUGCAUCAAUGUACAGAGGAGUGACAAGGAAUUUCCUUCCAAUGCAUGUCCUAGGUAUGCAAAAGACUUUUAAGUAAGGAGCUUGCUAAGAGGAUGACAUUGUAACUGCAUAUGACAAUGCAUAUUUGACAGUCCAUGAACCGAAACUAAAAGGUGGAUUUGACAGCUUAUGUGGAGAAGCAUAAGUUCUGUUUGAUGUUGUUUUUGACGAGAAUGUUACCAAUGACGAAUUAUGAAGAGUACAUAAUGAUAAAGAGGUUAGAGAUCUUGCAACUUAUGCAUAUCUUUAUGUGAAAAUCUGAAGAAGAUUUAUCUUUUAAUUUUCUCUAUUAAAUCAUUGGAGUACUAUGGGCGUGAACCGAUUUAACUGAGAUGGAACUACAAC
This is a long non-coding RNA of Vigna unguiculata (cowpea), 617 nucleotides long. Lineage: Eukaryota; Viridiplantae; Streptophyta; Magnoliopsida; Fabales; Fabaceae. The record is from RefSeq and is a predicted model, not a curated record.